Molecule: long non-coding RNA, 2402 nt
Organism: Pelmatolapia mariae (spotted tilapia)
Lineage: Eukaryota; Metazoa; Chordata; Actinopteri; Cichliformes; Cichlidae
Exons: 2
Source: RefSeq, a predicted model, not a curated record
GUUGAUUAGCUGCGUAUAUACGAAUGUGAAUCGCAUCAUUGGCUGGACUAUGGGAUAAGGUGGCAUCGUUCUAAUCCCAUACGGGAGCAGCCAGUCACUUACUGACUAACACUGCAAAACAGAAUUGUUAACGUAUUUAUUUUAAUUUCAAUUCAGGUUAGAUUUUUUUUUGUGCGCAACACAGAUUUUCUUUGCGCAGAGACCGUGCCAGCAGUGCGCAAUUGCGCACGUGCGCAGCUUAGAGGGAACAUUGCUCAAGAUGGCAGUCUCCUGGGAUUUUCAUUUACCAUACAUGAAUCUACUUGGAGGCUGAGGGAUACUGGUGGCCAUCAGUAUUUUUUUUUUUUUUUUGUCUCAGAAAUGUAGUUUAAUAAGCUCAUUAUUGUCAAUUUAGGUCUUUAGUUUUAAGAUCUGCCAUUGGUACUCCUACUCAUGGCUGUUGCGUGAUGAUCUCUGGCAGUUGCCAAUCCACGUGCAUGGUGCUGACCUGUGAGUACAGGUCCCACUAAAGAACACCAGGUCCUCAUGGAGUCUGUUUCUGACAGUUUGGUCAGAAACAUGCACAUCAUCAGCCAGCUGGAGGUCAUUUCGUAAGACUCCUGUUGCUCCUCACGUAAAGGAGCAUUUGCUGGUCCUUCUGCUGCCCUACCCUACUUGGGUAACAGCCUGUCAUCUGCUAUCUUCUCCAAAAUCUUGAAACUGAUGGAAGAUAACUUCAUAACAACUUCAGAAUCUCUUCAGACACUAAACGUGUGUGAGCAGGACUGUUUUACUGCAAUGCUCUUCUUUCUGGUCUUCUAAAAACUCUUUGUCACCAACGCAGCUGCGACUGCACAUCUGAUGAUAAGAACCAGAAUAGCAGCCCAUAUUACACCAAUUUUAAUGUGUCUGCACUGGCUCCCAGUUAGUUUCAGAGUUUAAGAGCCUUUUACUUGUUUUUUAAGACUCUCACGAGUUUAACGCCUUAUCUUUCAGAUUUACUUUUACACUUUGAGCCUUUCAGAAAACCUCAGGUCCUCAGAUAGGAGAAAUUAAUUCUCAUGGAGAGCCAUCUUUCAGCUUUCAUGCUCCACAUUUACGGAUUAGCUUUUAGAGUUUUUCGUUUGACUUUAAGGUUUUUGUGUCUAUGUAAUUAUUAUUUUUAUUUUUUUUACAGAUAUAUUUUCAUUGCAGUCUUUGUUUACAUGUUUAUUUCUCUUUUACUAUAUUUUAUUUUUUCACCUUAGUUUCUUUUAUAUUUACUUUUGGUUUUUUUCCCCCCAAUCUCCAGUGUUUCUAUAUGACAGGAACAGUUGCUGGUCCUUCUAGUCUAAGGUCUAUAGCACAUUGAAUGACGUACAUUAUUUUUACAUACAGGGUUUAUGUUUUUUCUGUUUUCCAUGCCCCGCCCUGGGAUUAAUAAAGGAUUUAGAUUCCGUUACCACCUGCGAGAUUGUUCCCUUUCAGUGCACGUGUUGUCCCUUUUCAUUUGUACCAGAGCAGGUGAAAUGGAUCCACAAAGGUUUAAGCUUUCUGAUGUUUAACUGAUUUUGUCCUAUAAACAGUCAGCUAAACCUAAGCCUGUGUUGUGUUUAAGAACUGCCAGCAGGGGGAGCCAGUGCAAAAGAAAAAACAACCUUCCUGUGAACAAACCAGCUCUAUUGUAUUGUUUUCUUUAUUGCAAUAAAUGUAAGAAAGAAUAUAGUGAGUCCAACACACCUUAUAAGUUGUACUUUUAGCUUUUUUAUUUAUUUCAGUCUCAGCAGUGAAAAUCUGCAUUCAUAAAAAUACAAGUUCUAAAUCCAAACGCUGAACAAAAGUAUUUUAAACACACUGCUACUAUAAACAAUGAUCGCAGCCAGCGCACAGACACUUAAAAUAACGGAGCAGCAGUAACUAAACAUUACCAGUGAUAGGGAUCCAGCAAUAAUAACAAAACAAGAUGCUCUGGAGAGAUUGGAUCAUAACAAACAAUGUAGUAACGCAGUGAAAACUACCAUUGCAAAAUCUUGAUGAUGUCUAACGUUUUUAAUUAUUCUCAAGCAGUCAUUUUAGUCCUGUUUUUUUUUUAAGACACAAAAGCCUCAGAAGGGGAAACAUACAACAGGCAACCAUACACAUGCAAUUGUGUUCUCGAGUGUUUUUAUGUGAACACCUAAACUUUGGACCGUUUCUAUUAUCUACUCCAUUCCUGUGUCAACUCUAAAGCAUCGCAGUGCGCACCUCAAAUGUGUCAAUCUAAUCUAGACCUCUUCAGCUACACUGCAAAGACAGAUUUUUAUAUUUAUUUUAUUUUUUCUGAACGCGUCUGUUCUGUGUUGCGGCAGUGCUAUUUUGUCCUGAGGACUAAACUACUGUCUCUCGUUCAUCCUGAGAAGACUCUGGAAAAUUUCCUGUCACUCCUUAACCUGUGAAAAAAAACA